UAAGUCACCUGGCAGGGAGGUACCACGAUCACAAAGGUGACUUUGCCAGGGGGAGGUGUAUCCAUUGCACUCCCAUAUGCUCACCCCUGUGUUCCCCAAAUGUGGGAAACUCAACUGCAUAAUUUGUGGUAAUGGAGGACUGUGUUCAAGCUCUCUCCUG
Molecule: small nuclear RNA, 160 nt
Organism: Lemur catta (Ring-tailed lemur)
Lineage: Eukaryota; Metazoa; Chordata; Mammalia; Primates; Lemuridae
Product: U1 spliceosomal RNA
Exons: 1
Source: RefSeq, a predicted model, not a curated record